UACGGAGGAUCCGAGCGUUAUCCGGAUUUAUUGGGUUUAAAGGGUGCGUAGGUGGUUUUUUAAGUUAUAGGUGAAAGCUCGACGCUCAACGUCGAAAUUGCCUUUAAUACUGAAGAACUAGAGACCAGUUGCAGAAGGCGGAAUGUGUGGUGUAGCGGUGAAAUGCUUAGAUAUCACACAGAACACCGAUUGCGAAGGCAGCUUUCUAAGCUGGAUCUGACACUGAUGCACGAAAGCGUGGGGAGCGAACAGG
Molecule: ribosomal RNA, 253 nt
Filed under: uncultured bacterium
Lineage: Bacteria
Description: partial 16S ribosomal RNA
Rfam family: Bacterial small subunit ribosomal RNA
Source: RNAcentral